GUCGAACGGCAGCACGGGUGCUUGCACCUGGUGGCGAGUGGCGAACGGGUGAGUAAUACAUCGGAACAUGUCCUGUAGUGGGGGAUAGCCCGGCGAAAGCCGGAUUAAUACCGCAUACGAUCUACGGAUGAAAGCGGGGGACCUUCGGGCCUCGCGCUAUAGGGUUGGCCGAUGGCUGAUUAGCUAGUUGGUGGGGUAAAGGCCUACCAAGGCGACGAUCAGUAGCUGGUCUGAGAGGACGACCAGCCACACUGGGACUGAGACACGGCCCAGACUCCUACGGGAGGCAGCAGUGGGGAAUUUUGGACAAUGGGCGAAAGCCUGAUCCAGCAAUGCCGCGUGUGUGAAGAAGGCCUUCGGGUUGUAAAGCACUUUUGUCCGGAAAGAAAUCCUUGGCUCUAAUACAGUCGGGGGAUGACGGUACCGGAAGAAUAAGCACCGGCUAACUACGUGCCAGCAGCCGCGGUAAUACGUAGGGUGCGAGCGUUAAUCGGAAUUACUGGGCGUAAAGCGUGCGCAGGCGGUUUGCUAAGACCGAUGUGAAAUCCCCGGGCUCAACCUGGGAACUGCAUUGGUGACUGGCAGGCUAGAGUAUGGCAGAGGGGGGUAGAAUUUCUACGUGUAGCAGUGAAAUGCGUAAGAUGUGGAGGGAAUACCGAUGGCGAAGGCAGCCCCCUGGGCCAAUACUGACGCUCAUGCACGAAAAGCGUGGAG
This 714-nucleotide ribosomal RNA is filed under the name Burkholderia cenocepacia. RNAcentral describes it as "bacterial SSU rRNA". It matches the Rfam family "Bacterial small subunit ribosomal RNA", at positions 61 to 766 of the family's 1533-position model. Lineage: Bacteria; Pseudomonadati; Pseudomonadota; Betaproteobacteria; Burkholderiales; Burkholderiaceae. The record is from RNAcentral.